GCGGACAUAGCUCAGGGGUAGAGCAUUGGCUUCCCAAGCCAAGUGUCGCGGGUUCAAAUCCCGUUGUCCGCUCCA
This 75-nucleotide transfer RNA is filed under the name Synergistaceae bacterium. RNAcentral describes it as "tRNA-Gly". It matches the Rfam family "tRNA". From Rfam's summary of the family: Transfer RNA (tRNA) molecules are approximately 80 nucleotides in length. Their secondary structure includes four short double-helical elements and three loops (D, anti-codon, and T loops). Lineage: Bacteria; Thermotogati; Synergistota; Synergistia; Synergistales; Synergistaceae. The record is from RNAcentral.